CAGUUUUAUAUAGUGUACAUGCAUGAGAAAUUGAAGCAGAAAACCCGACACUGACCAAAGUUUUUCAGUAAUAAAGAUUAGCCAAAUUCAGCUAAAGAGAAAAUCUUGGUCAGUCAUGUAGGUGAGAUCCUGAUUCAAGAGUAGAAAGGUUGCCGUCCUUCAGUUUUGUGUGGGGUCAUAUUGAUUUGCGUAAAAUAAGCCUUCACUGCCCUGUUCAGCUGCAAGCAUAAACGAACAAACCAUGAUAUUGCAAAAACAUCUAAAUAUAGUAUAUAGAUAAUCACUAAGUAACUACAUUUUUUUUGCGGGGACUAAGUAACUACGUUAGGGAUGUAUCUCACCAUACAUUGCAUAGUGUUAAGCUCUGCAGAAAAAAUAAAUAUGUAUCAAGAAGCUGACAUCAAUGCCUACCUCUAUGGGGUGGGAUUACCGGCGGUCCGAAGGUUGAAGAGAAAUCAAGAGCGUCCGGAAGAGCGAUCUCAGAUGCUACGGGAAAGAGGAUUAGAGGGAUUAUAAAAAUCAAAUAAAAAUAGAACGAACCAAUCUUGAUUAUGCAAUGUUCAACGCUUUAUUAUUUGGAAGUAGUCAAAAAGGGUAAAAUCCACCGCUUAGUUGUAGUGAGUAUAUAUAGCUAUAGUAGAAGGGCACCUCAGUGGUCAGCGGCGAGUGGUGGCCUGGGUCUCGGCAAGCCGGCCGCCAUGGCGUCAAAUAGGAGUAGCGCCGUUUUGGUGUUUCUGUUGUGGGUUGCUAGCGGUUGUGCGACGGCCCUCGCCUGCAUGGAUGACCGGAGGAGGUAGGCGCUGCGUAUGUGGACACACGGAGACGCUGUGGCUGGAACAGACUGCCGGUGGGCGGAGCAUUAGAACCUUUGGCGUGGACUGCCGAUGGAGGAGCGAGCCUUCAUGAUAGGGAAGAAAAGAGGUGCAAGCAAAAUUUGGUGGGG
RNAcentral lists this long non-coding RNA (943 nucleotides) under Triticum aestivum (bread wheat). RNAcentral's name for it is "long non-coding RNA (TAES_LNC005494)". Lineage: Eukaryota; Viridiplantae; Streptophyta; Magnoliopsida; Poales; Poaceae. The record is from RNAcentral.